UACGGAAGGCAGCAGUGGGGAAUAUUGCACAAUGGGCGCAAGCCUGAUGCAGCCAUGCCGCGUGUAUGAAGAAGGCCUUCGGGUUGUAAAGUACUUUCAGUCGUGAGGAAGGUGUUAAGGUUAAUAACCUUAGCAAUUGACGUUAGCGACAGAAGAAGCACCGGCUAACUCCGUGCCAGCAGCCGCGGUAAUACGGAGGGUGCGAGCGUUAAUCGGAAUUACUGGGCGUAAAGGGCACGCAGGCGGUUAAUUAAGUUGGAUGUGAAAUCCCCGGGCUUAACCUGGGAAUGGCAUUCAAGACUGGUUAGCUAGAGUCUUGUAGAGGGGGUAGAAUUCCGAUGUGUAGCGGUGAAAUGCGUAGAGAUGUGGAGGAAUACCGGUGGCGAAGGCGGCCCCUGGACAAAGACUGACGCUCGAUGUGCGAAAGCGUGGGGAGCAAA
RNAcentral lists this ribosomal RNA (440 nucleotides) under uncultured bacterium. RNAcentral describes it as "bacterial SSU rRNA". It matches the Rfam family "Bacterial small subunit ribosomal RNA", at positions 340 to 772 of the family's 1533-position model. The record is from RNAcentral.